AUUUGUGCCUUUAUCAAGAGAAAAGCCAACAGUGCUGAUGUCAUCAAUGACCAGAAACAAAAUGCAAAUGUGGUGGAGCCACACCAAUAAUGACAAAAAUAAAUUCUGAAAGAUUCUAAAAGCUGGCAUUAAUGUGGCGAUUCACAAUGAAGAGUCUACUAUAUACAUGGGCUGAUUGGUGUGGUGAGUGGAGACUCCAUCCAUCCAUCCCACGUUAGAAAGGCUUUAGUAUGCCUGUGCUUUCCGAGCUUGAGGGUUCAUUUUGGCCUUGGAAGUAGCAGUUUGAAAAUAAAUUCCUAUCACAGAAUGGAGUGUGUUCAGUUGUCAUGGAGAUGGUCGAGUUGUUGUCAUAUGUUCGUGUAUGGGGGGGGUUGUAAUCCAUGACUAGCUUCCUUCAUCUUUCUCUGGCCGUCCACUGAUUUCCUGGUGUUUGUUGGGGUAUCUUAUAGUAUCCUCCGAAAGGGGGCUAAAUUGAGGGUGGAAUGGCUGCAUUUUUGUACCUUUCUCAGACUAUAAGACUUGCUCGCUGGCAAUGAGUCCUGCAACAUGGGGGUAAGAAGAUGAAAAGCUCUGGGCUGUUUGGUAUUCCUGCAGAGGAAUGAAGAAUUUAAGUAAAUAAAUCAAAAUAAAAUAAAAUGAAAUCCACCAAGAAGAAUCCCUGCAGACCUCUUUGGACAGGUGUUUUCCUCCAGUAAAUUUAUGGGAUGUGGGAUGUGUGUGGAGAGUUGCAAAUGUGUGUGACGAUCUGCCUGUGACUUCAGGUUUUCUUCGCCAUGAGCAGAGGCUCACAGGCUCACACUGCCAGGCUGACCCUUUUUACUAAAGAACUUCCGCUGCCACUGGGGAGAAACCAAAACAACAACGGCAUUCUGACAGCAUAGCUUAUAUGGACCAUAUACGGUGAAAAGAUGCGUUUCCACAUCACCUACAGUGAUCAGUCACAUUGAGCUGGGAUCAGUCCAAUACUGUACCCUUCAUCACAGAACAGAGAACUAUGGCUGACCUCACAUGACUCGGACCAAAUACAUCACCACAGAGGACUGUGUGGGAUUACUCAUCUUUGCAGAUCCAUCAGUUCAUCAUUCCAUCAACCUCUUCCGCCAUCGGCCUGAGCAGAGUCAUCAGCCACCAGCACCACCAGUGUCUGGACUGUCUGGGAUUUAUUCUGCCGCUGCUCAGGGCAGACGCCCUCCACCACCAAAAUCUCCCCGAAGAGUCUAAGUGCCAAAGACUCACUUAACA
Siniperca chuatsi (mandarin fish) is the source of this 1242-nucleotide long non-coding RNA. RefSeq lists it as uncharacterized. NCBI's taxonomy places the organism in Eukaryota, Metazoa, Chordata, Actinopteri, Centrarchiformes, Sinipercidae. The transcript is spliced from 4 exons. The record is from RefSeq and is a predicted model, not a curated record.